UUCCUUUCUCAUUUUGAUAUGAAUCUUGGCACUGGCUUCUCACAAUUUGGAAAAUAAAUUUAUAUACACACACACAGUGUUGAGAAAACAGCCAGCAGUUAAGUGCUUUUUGUGGAAGUGAUCCUCACAUGACCUUAGUACUGUAUGCUUCUCAGAUUGAGGUUUUGGAAGGGGAAUCCAUUCAGCUCUGCUUUUGUGGAAGUGAUCCUCACAUGACCUUAGUAUGCUUCUCAGAUUGAGGUUUUUGAAGGGGAAUCCAUUCAGCUCUGCUUUCCAGGGAAUUCUUUUUCUUGGACAUUGUGUGGCAACCGGUGAGUGGUCUGGCUGGUUCGGGGGUGGGGGAGAGAACAGACCUCCAUGGCACUUGUGCUGCCACAACUCAUAUUCAUAUCUUCAGGUACUGUAUAAGGAUAUGAGCAGCCCAUCUCUAAAGGUUAUCAUGCAGCACAUAGAGUUUUGGUCCUCUGAUGUGAAACAUUCCAAACUUUUUUUAAAAAAAAAUCUUUGGCUAAAUAUAGACUAUUUUCACUUUGGGGCCCCCAAAAAGCACAAAAUAUUUCCCUUUAAACAAACACACAACCCAAAUAUUGCCAUCACUGAGGCCUGGUGCAGCCUGUCAUGGUGACUGGAGGCAAAAAGCUCCCCCCACCAGCUCCUGAAAGGAUCCACUGUAUUUUAGGAGAAGAGAAGACUCCCUGGAAACGCCCCUGAUGUUGGGAAAGUGUGAGGGUAAGCAAGUAAGGGGACGACAGAGGACAAGAUGAUUGGACAGUUGUCAUCAAAGCUACCAACAUGAAUUUGACCCAACUCCGGGAGGCCGUGGACGACAGGAUGCUCUGGUCUGUGGGGUCAUGAAGAGUCGGACACGACUAAACAACUAAACAACAACAACAUUUUAGGACAUUUGCUUAAUUUUUAAAAUAGAUUCCUACCUAGCCUCCAUGUAAAAAACUUAAUGAAUAAUACUAUGAAUGUCAUAACAUGUAACAGAGAAGAAUCAUUCAAGAGGUGGUGACAGUAGAUCAGAUGGAAUAGGUACUAAUAGGAUCAAUUCCUUGAAAAAUAAUCUUUCCAAGUACUGAUUCAUGUCUAAAUAUGGUCAGGGUCUGUAGCACACAGAUACCUAAGUUUUUUCUGCACCAUAAAGGUUUCAGUAAAGAAAUAUGAUCUACCUACUGCGUACCUGUGAAGCAGAUAGGAGCUGCAGUGGAGCUUACAUGUGAAAUCAUGGCAGAUUGGGUCCCAAGAUUUUAUAGUACACCAAAAUGUAAAUAAAAUAAAGAGUGAUUUGCUUUAAACA
Molecule: long non-coding RNA, 1300 nt
Filed under: Pogona vitticeps (central bearded dragon)
Lineage: Eukaryota; Metazoa; Chordata; Lepidosauria; Squamata; Agamidae
Description: lncRNA (ENSPVIG00000005438.1)
Source: RNAcentral